This 333-nucleotide ribosomal RNA is filed under the name Triticum aestivum (bread wheat). Its description in RNAcentral is "partial small subunit ribosomal RNA". Lineage: Eukaryota; Viridiplantae; Streptophyta; Magnoliopsida; Poales; Poaceae. The record is from RNAcentral.
AUGUACAAACAAGGGAAGAUGUGCCCACAGGCGUGUUGUCGCUCGCUAUACCGCAAUAAAAGGCUUUCUGGUAGAAAUUUAGCUCAAACUGUUGUUCAAGUGGUGUACAUUGGGGAGAAGAGAACAGAGCUGUGUGUGUUGGAAUUAAAGCUGGAGAGCAUUUGUGGAGGGAUUCUGAUAACAUCCGCAUUUCAAUUUUAUCAUAUUUGCUAUUUUUCUCAUUCAGUAGUUCCGAAGCAGGGUAUAAAAUUCCUUAUGAAAGCACCGUGCAUACAUUUGACACCAGUGAAAAAACGUCAAAUUCAGUUCAGAAAUUUCAUCCGUACUUUCUGA